This 496-nucleotide ribosomal RNA is filed under the name uncultured bacterium. RNAcentral describes it as "partial 16S ribosomal RNA". It matches the Rfam family "Bacterial small subunit ribosomal RNA", at positions 29 to 507 of the family's 1533-position model. The record is from RNAcentral.
AUGAACGCUCGCGGCGUGCCUAAUACAUGCAAGUCGAGCGAACAGACGAGGAGCUUGCUCCUCUGACGUUAGCGGCGGACGGGUGAGUAACACGUGGAUAACCUACCUAUAAGACUGGGAUAACUUCGGGAAACCGGAGCUAAUACCGGAUAAUAUAUUGAACCGCAUGGUUCAAUAGUGAAAGACGGUUUUGCUGUCACUUAUAGAUGGAUCCGCGCCGCAUUAGCUAGUUGGUAAGGUAACGGCUUACCAAGGCGACGAUGCGUCGCCGACCUGAGAGGGUGAUCGGCCACACUGGAACUGAGACACGGUCCAGACUCCUACGGGAGGCAGCAGUAGGGAAUCUUCCGCAAUGGGCGAAAGCCUGACGGAGCAACGCCGCGUGAGUGAUGAAGGUCUUCGGAUCGUAAAACUCUGUUAUUAGGGAAGAACAAAUGUGUAAGUAACUAUGCACGUCUUGACGGUACCUAAUCAGAAAGCCACGGCUAACUACGUG